UGGGGAAUCUUCCGCAAUGGACGAAAGUCUGACGGAGCAACGCCGCGUGUAUGAUGAAGGUCUUCGGAUUGUAAAAGUACUGUCAUUGGGGAAGAACGGUUUUCUUGAAAAGAUUGAGAAGACAUGACGGUACCCAAGGAGGAAGCCCCGGCUAACUACGUGCCAGCAGCCGCGGUAAUACGUAGGGGGCAAGCGUUGUCCGGAAUUAUUGGGCGUAAAGGGCGCGUAGGCGGGCCUUUAAGUCCGGUGUGAAAGAUCAGGGCUCAACCCUGAGAGUGCAUCGGAAACUGGAGGCCUUGAGGACAGGAGAGGAAAGUGGAAUUCCACGUGUAGCGGUGAAAUGCGUAGAUAUGUGGAGGAACACCAGUGGCGAAGGCGACUUUCUGGACUGUAACUGACGCUGAGGCGCGAAAGCGUGGGGAGCAAACAGGAUUAGAUACCCUGGUAGUCCACGCCGUAAACGAUGAGUGCUAGGUGUAGAGGGUAUCGACCCCUUCUGUGCCGCAGUUAACACAAUAAGCACUCCCGCCUGGGGAGUACGGCCGCAAGGUUUGAAACUCAAAUG
Molecule: ribosomal RNA, 565 nt
Filed under: uncultured bacterium
Lineage: Bacteria
Description: partial 16S ribosomal RNA
Rfam family: Bacterial small subunit ribosomal RNA
Source: RNAcentral